AUGGACAGUGCAAACCUAGCCCUUACAUCAUCAUCUGGCCAACUGUUGUGGGAAAGCUUCGACUACCCAACGGAUUUUCUGCUCCCUGGUGCCAAAUUUGGCUGGAACAAGGUCACCCGUUUAAAUCGUCGGGUAAUCUCGAAAAAGUGUACCGUUGAUCCUGGGCUUAGCUCGUAUAGUAUCGAGCUAGAAACCAAUGGCAACGGGAUAGUUCUUAAGCACCGCAAAUCCUCGCUAGGGUAUCAGGUUGUUUAUGCGCCCGAAACAUCAACGAUAUUGAAACUUUUGCCAAGAAUCCAGAAGUUUCUACAAUUGGAUCUGCGGGCAAAAGGUUCGAUUGUCCCACUCUAUGUUAAUACCAGAGAAGAGGAGUACUACAUGUACACUUCAUCAAAUGAAUCAUCUUACUCAUUUGUCUCGCUAGACAUUUCUAGUCAGACCCAGCUUAAUAUCUGUGCGCAGCCACCCUGUGACUGCAUGGAGAGCUUCUCUAAGAAGUCGCUAUGGCAUUGGGAUUUUGGUGAUCAAACACAAGGGUGCAUCAGAAAUACACCACUGUAUUGCUCCAGUCACAAGAACACGACAAGUUCAACAGACACGUUUCACCCCAUUGCUCGGGUUACAUUGCCCUACAACUCACAAAGCGUAAACCUUGCUACCACUCAUAGUAUAUGUGAGGAAGCUUGUCUCAACUGUGCUCCUGCACUGCUUAUUCCUAUGGCAAUACCAAUUGCUCUGUCUGACAUGGAAAAUUGCUUGGUGUAA
This 765-nucleotide ribosomal RNA is filed under the name Triticum aestivum (bread wheat). RNAcentral's name for it is "partial small subunit ribosomal RNA". Lineage: Eukaryota; Viridiplantae; Streptophyta; Magnoliopsida; Poales; Poaceae. The record is from RNAcentral.